CUGAAUGGCCAUUAAAUCCCUUCCUCCAAAAUAAAGGACCAUUGCCCUCAACGAUGGAUCAUUAAGUUGCAAUGAUCUUGCUCUACGAGAUUGUUAUCACAGAUCUAGCAAGAGGGCUGGUGGCUUUUAGUCACUGUAUCAAAUCUAUUCUACUCCUCCUGAUGAAGCUUGGAUGAAUACGUCCUCAUGGAAAGAACCGUCAAGGAGGGCAGCGACACUGCAGCGGGACCCGGCUCCCAGCAUGGGCAGGAGCAGCAGAGUGGAAGCGACUCCUGGUGCGCCCAGAUCGAGAGCUCUGUGACAGCCCCACGGACUUUCCACAGCCCAGGAGCAACAUGGGAGGGGGCAGGAUUUCCUCCAGGCCCUUAGAAAGGGGCACAGAAGCAGGAGAAAAGAAUCAGAUCUGUACAGGCCUUGCCUGGGGAGUGAGCAAGUGCAGCCGCAAAGGGGCAUGGGGCAGCGACCAAGAACGGGACGGUAUGAUACAGACCUGGGAGGCUGGUGUGGACAGAUGACCUGGCUCAGAGGCCCUUCUCUCCACUCCCUGCAGCCUCCCCUUAUCCAGAAUGGGGACACAAUCCCCAGGGAUAGAAAACUAUCCCGCGGUAACAGAAAUUGUCAGCCACCAAGCAGAAUGAGGAUUUGAAAUGGAAAUGACAUUGAUUUAAACAAAAAAGUAACGUUUCUUACACACUCGGGCUGUGUUCUGAGAUUCUUGCGUUCUCAGGUGAGCAAGGUCAAAACUGAUGGUCAGAGGUAGCGAGCCCUUUAGACUGGUCGUGAUACACCCUGACCUCUAGGGGGCAGUCGAAGCUCCGCCCACCUGACUCAUCCCGAGGAGGAAAGGAAAGUUGAUCAGGGUCUUCAGGGAAGGGCCAAGAGGGCCAGAUUUCAGAUGAAGGAACAAAGGGAUCGUGAAUCGACCUGGAGCACAUGGAAACCCCCCCUUGCAUUGUUUCUCUCCGCACAGAAUCCCAAACAUCUGAGCCCCUGAUGUAGGGAGGUGGGGUCCACAGAUAGUUGAGAAACAACCUCUUCCCGCCCUCCGCUCCCCUGGAGUGAGGGCUUAGGCAGGGCUGCCCUCAGCCUCCCUGAGAAGCUGGGCCUCUCUUGUUUGGUCACUUUGUGG
RNAcentral lists this long non-coding RNA (1129 nucleotides) under Equus caballus (horse). Its description in RNAcentral is "lncRNA (ENSECAG00000054637.1)". The record is from RNAcentral. Lineage: Eukaryota; Metazoa; Chordata; Mammalia; Perissodactyla; Equidae.